This 329-nucleotide unclassified non-coding RNA is filed under the name soil metagenome. RNAcentral describes it as "partial contains 5.8S ribosomal RNA, internal transcribed spacer 2, and large subunit ribosomal RNA". The stretch from base 1 to 120 matches the Rfam family "5.8S ribosomal RNA", at positions 35 to 154 of the family's 154-position model. The record is from RNAcentral.
GAUGAAGAACGUAGCGAAAUGCGAUAAGUAGUGUGAAUUGCAGAAUUCAGUGAAUCAUCGAAUCUUUGAACGCACAUUGAGCCCCUUGGUAUCCCGAGGGGCAUGCCUGUUCGAGCGUCAUUUCACCACUCAAGCCUGGCUUGGUGUUGGGCGACGUCCCCUUUGGGGACGCGCCUCGAAACGCUCGGCGGCGUGGCACCGGCUUUAAGCGUAGCAGAAUCUUUCGCUUUGGAAGUCGGGGCCCCGUCUGCCGGAAGACCUACUCGCAAGGUUGACCUCGGAUCAGGCAGGGAUACCCGCUGAACUUAAGCAUAUCAAUAAGCGGAGGA